GACGAACGCUGGCGGCGUGCUUAACACAUGCAAGUCGAACGGUGAAGCGCCUUCCUUUUUGGUGGGUGUGGAUGAGUGGCGAAAGGGUGAGUAACACGUGAGUAACCUGCCCCCUUCUUCUGGAUAACCGCAUGAAAGAGUGGCUAAUACGGGCUAUUCUGGGUCUGUCGCAUGAUGGGUCUGGGAAAGAUAUUGUGUCGGUGGGGGAUGGGCUGGCGGCCUAUCAGCUUGUUGGGGGGGUGAUUGCCUACCACGGCGGUGUCGGGUAGCCGGCCUGGGAGGGUCGACGGUCCUGCGGGGGCGGCGGCACGCCCCAGACUCCGACGGGAGGCAGCAGUGGAUAAUAUUGCACAGUGGGCGGAAGGCUGAUGCAGCGACGCGGCGUGAGUGAUGGAGGCCUUCGUGUUGUGAACCUCUUUCGCGAGUGAAGCAGGCCUGCCUCGUAUGUGGGUGGGUUGACGGUAGCUGGAUAAGAAGCGCCGGCUAACUACGUG
This 494-nucleotide ribosomal RNA is filed under the name uncultured bacterium. RNAcentral's name for it is "partial 16S ribosomal RNA". It matches the Rfam family "Bacterial small subunit ribosomal RNA", at positions 28 to 507 of the family's 1533-position model. The record is from RNAcentral.